UGGGGAAUAUUGCACAAUGGGGGAAACCCUGAUGCAGCGACGCCGCGUGAGUGAGGAAGUAUUUCGGUAUGUAAAACUCUAUCAGCAGGGAAGAUAAUGACGGUACCUGACUAAGAAGCACCGGCUAAAUACGUGCCAGCAGCCGCGGUAAUACGUAUGGUGCAAGCGUUAUCCGGAUUUACUGGGUGUAAAGGGUGCGUAGGUGGUAUGGCAAGUCAGAAGUGAAAGGCUGGGGCUUAACCCCGGGACUGCUUUUGAAACUGUCAAACUAGAGUACAGGAGAGGAAAGCGGAAUUCCUAGUGUAGCGGUGAAAUGCGUAGAUAUUAGGAGGAACACCAGCGGCGAAGGCGGCUUUCUGGACUGAAACUGACACUGAGGCACGAAAGCGUGGGGAGCAAACAGGAUUAGAUACCCUGGU
RNAcentral lists this ribosomal RNA (419 nucleotides) under uncultured Lachnospiraceae bacterium. RNAcentral describes it as "bacterial SSU rRNA". It matches the Rfam family "Bacterial small subunit ribosomal RNA", at positions 355 to 791 of the family's 1533-position model. Lineage: Bacteria; Bacillati; Bacillota; Clostridia; Lachnospirales; Lachnospiraceae. The record is from RNAcentral.